GACGAACGCUGGCGGCGUGCUUAACACAUGCAAGUCGAGCGGUAAGGUUCCUUUGGGCGUAUACGCGCGGCGGACGGGUGGGUAACACGUGAGUAAUCUGCCCUUCACUUCGGGAUUACCACCGGAAACGGUGGCUAAUACCGAAAACGACUAGCCUUCGCACGAGUUGCUGGCGGAGAGUCUUUUCGGUGCAGGAUGUGCUUGCGGCCUAUUAGCUUGUUGGUGGGGUAAUGGCCUACCAAGGCUUCGACGGGUAGCCGGCCUGAGAGGGUGACCGGCCACACUGGGACUGAGACACGGCCCAGACUCCUACGGGAGGCAGCAGUGGGGAAUAUUGGACAAUGGGCGAAAGCCUGAUCCAGCAACGCCGCGUGAGGGAUGACGGCCUUCGGGUUGUAAACCUCUUUCAGUACCGACGAAGCGCCCUGUCGGGUGGUGACGGUAGGUACAGAAGAAGGACCGGCCAACUACGUG
RNAcentral lists this ribosomal RNA (474 nucleotides) under uncultured bacterium. RNAcentral's name for it is "partial 16S ribosomal RNA". It matches the Rfam family "Bacterial small subunit ribosomal RNA", at positions 28 to 507 of the family's 1533-position model. The record is from RNAcentral.